GCUCAGAAUCAACGCUGGCGGCGUGCCUAACACAUGCAAGUCGAACGAGAACGUGGAGUAAUCCAUGAGUACAGUGGCGACCGGGUGAGUAACACGUGACCAACCUGCCAUCGAGUGGGGAAUAACUCCGGGAACCAGGAGUUAAUACCGCAUAACAUCGCAAGAUCAACGCCGCAAGGCGCUUGAGGAGGGGGUCGCGGCUGAUUAGCUAGUUGGUAGGGUAAUGGCCUACCAAGGCGAAGAUCGGUAGCCGGCCUGAGAGGGCGCACGGGGACCCUGGAACUGAACCACGGUCCAGACUCCUACGGGAGGCAGCAGUGGGGAAUUUUGCGCAAUGGGGGAACCACUGACGCAGCAACGCCGCGUGGAGGAUGAAGUCCAUUGGGACGUAACCUCCUUUCGACCGGGACGAUACUGACGGUACCGGAAGAAGAAGCACCGGCUAACUCUGUGCCAGCAACCGCGGUAAUACAGAGGGUGCGAGUGUUGUUCGGAAUUAUUGGGCGUAACGGGCGCGUAGGCGGCGCGGUAAGUCACCUGUGAACUCUCCUGGCUCAACUGGGAGUUUGCAGGCGAACCUGCCGUGCUAGAGUGUGGGAGAGGUGCGUGGAAUUCCAGGUGUAGCGGUGAACUGCGUAGAUAUCGGGAGGAACACCUGUGGCGAACGCGGCGCACUGGAGGACCACUGACGCUGAGGCGCGAACGCUAGGGGAGCAACCAGGAUUAGAUACCAUGGUAGUCCUAGCCAUAACCUAUGGAUGCUUGGUGUGAUGG
Molecule: ribosomal RNA, 774 nt
Filed under: uncultured bacterium
Lineage: Bacteria
Description: bacterial SSU rRNA
Rfam family: Bacterial small subunit ribosomal RNA
Source: RNAcentral